Molecule: ribosomal RNA, 449 nt
Filed under: uncultured bacterium
Lineage: Bacteria
Description: partial 16S ribosomal RNA
Rfam family: Bacterial small subunit ribosomal RNA
Source: RNAcentral
AACGAACGCUGGCGGCAGGCUUAACACAUGCAAGUCGAACGAAGGCUUCGGCCUUAGUGGCGCACGGGUGAGUAACACGUGGGAAUAUACCUCUUGGUGGGGGAUAACGUCGGGAAACUGACGCUAAUACCGCAUACGCCCUUCGGGGGAAAGAUUUAUCGCCGAGAGAUUAGCCCGCGUCCGAUUAGCUAGUUGGUGAGGUAACGGCUCACCAAGGCGACGAUCGGUAGCUGGUCUGAGAGGAUGAUCAGCCACACUGGGACUGAGACACGGCACAGACGCCUACGGGAGGCAGCAGGGGGGAAUAUUGGACAAUGGGGGCAACCCUGAUCCAGCCAUGCCGCGUGAGUGAUGAAGGCCUUAGGGUUGUAAAGCUCUUUCACCCACGACGAUGAUGACGGUAGUGGGAGAAGAAGCCCCGGCUAACUUCGUGCCAGCCGCCGCCGUAA